GUAGGGAAUAUUGGGCAAUGGUCGGAAGACUGACCCAGCCAUGCCGCGUGCAGGAAGACGGCCCUCUGGGUUGUAAACUGCUUUUAUCUGGGAAGAAAAAGGCCAUGCGUGGCAAAUUGCCGGUACCAGAUGAAUAAGCACCGGCUAACUCCGUGCCAGCAGCCGCGGUAAUACGGAGGGUGCGAGCGUUGUCCGGAUUUAUUGGGUUUAAAGGGUGAGUAGGCGGCUGAUUAAGUCAGCGGUGAAAGACUUCGGCUUAACCGGAGCAGUGCCGUUGAUACUGGUUGGCUUGAGUGUCGGAGGGGUACAUGGAAUUGAUGGUGUAGCGGUGAAAUGCAUAGAUACCAUCAGGAACACCGAUAGCGAAGGCAUUGUACUGGCCGACAACUGACGCUGAUGCACGAAAGUGUGGGGAUCGAACAGGAUUAGAAACCCCAGUAGUCC
RNAcentral lists this ribosomal RNA (444 nucleotides) under uncultured bacterium. RNAcentral describes it as "partial 16S ribosomal RNA". It matches the Rfam family "Bacterial small subunit ribosomal RNA", at positions 354 to 796 of the family's 1533-position model. The record is from RNAcentral.